RNAcentral lists this ribosomal RNA (329 nucleotides) under Salmonella enterica subsp. enterica serovar Baildon. RNAcentral describes it as "partial 23S ribosomal RNA". It matches the Rfam family "Bacterial large subunit ribosomal RNA", at positions 911 to 1237 of the family's 2925-position model. Lineage: Bacteria; Pseudomonadati; Pseudomonadota; Gammaproteobacteria; Enterobacterales; Enterobacteriaceae. The record is from RNAcentral.
UGUUUCGGCUAGGGGGCCAUCCCGGCUUACCAACCCGAUGCAAACUGCGAAUACCGGAGAAUGUUAUCACGGGAGACACACGGCGGGUGCUAACGUCCGUCGUGAAGAGGGAAACAACCCAGACCGCCAGCUAAGGUCCCAAAGUCAUGGUUAAGUGGGAAACGAUGUGGGAAGGCCCAGACAGCCAGGAUGUUGGCUUAGAAGCAGCCAUCAUUUAAAGAAAGCGUAAUAGCUCACUGGUCGAGUCGGCCUGCGCGGAAGAUGUAACGGGGCUAAACCAUGCACCGAAGCUGCGGCAGCGACGCUGAUGCGUUGUUGGGUAGGGGAGC